Molecule: ribosomal RNA, 250 nt
Filed under: uncultured bacterium
Lineage: Bacteria
Description: partial 16S ribosomal RNA
Rfam family: Bacterial small subunit ribosomal RNA
Source: RNAcentral
GUGCCAGCCGCCGCGGUAAUACGGAGGGUGCAAGCGUUGUUCGGAAUUAUUGGGCGUAAAGCGCGUGUAGGCGGCUAUUUAAGUCUGAUGUGAAAGCCCGGGGCUCAACCUGGGAACUGCAUUCAAAACUGACGAGCUAGAGUAUGGUAGAGGGUGGUGGAAUUUCGAGUGUAGGGGUGAAAUCCGUAGAUAUUCGAAGGAACACCGGUGGCGAAGGCGGCUACCUGGACCGAUACUGACGCUGAGACGC